AUCAGCAGUUAUAUCACCCUGCAAUUCACAAUUAGAAACCAGCUGAAGCAGGUGUGAGCCUGGCCAGUACCUGAAUGGGAGACCUCCUGGGAAAACUAAGGUUGCUGCUGGAU
This 113-nucleotide ribosomal RNA is filed under the name Lepisosteus oculatus (spotted gar). The record is from RNAcentral. Lineage: Eukaryota; Metazoa; Chordata; Actinopteri; Semionotiformes; Lepisosteidae.